UAAUACCCUAUAGGUUACAGAUGCUGGAAUGCUCUGUAAUCAAAAGUUCCGGCGCCCUAGGAUGGAUCUGCGGCCGAUUAGGUUGUUGUUGGGGUAAUGGCCCAACAAGCCAGUAAUCGGUACGGGUUGUGGGAGCAAGAGCCCGGAGUUGGAUUCUGAGACACGAAUCCAGGCCCUACGGGGCGCAGCAGGCGCGAAAACUUUACAAUGCGGGCAACCGUGAUAAGGGAACCUCGAGUGCCUGUAAAUGCAGGCUGUUCAGAUGCCUAAAACACAUCUGGAGAAAGGGCCGGGCAAGACCGGUGCCAGCCGCCGCGGUAAUACCGGCGGCUCGAGUGGUGGCCACUUUUAUUGGGCUUAAAGCGUUCGUAGCUGGGUUGUUAAGUCUCUUGGGAAAUCUGGCGGCUUAACCGUCAGGCGUCUAAGGGAUACUGGCAAUCUUGGAACCGGGAGAGGUGAGGGGUACUUCGGGGGUAAGAGUGAAAUCCUGUAAUCCUCGAGGGACCACCUGUGGCGAAGGCGCCUCACCAGAACGGCUUCGACAGUGAGGGACGAAAGCUGGGGGAGCAAACUGGAUUAGAUACCCGGGUAGUCCCAGCCGUAAACUAUGCGCGUUAAGUGUAU
This 624-nucleotide ribosomal RNA is filed under the name uncultured archaeon. RNAcentral describes it as "bacterial SSU rRNA". It matches the Rfam family "Archaeal small subunit ribosomal RNA", at positions 147 to 776 of the family's 1478-position model. The record is from RNAcentral.